GGGAGAAACCGGAGAGAGGACUAGGAAUACAGAAUAGUAGUAAUAUUGUGAACACGCUGACGUUGAUGCGCGAAAACGUGGGAGCAAAGAGGAUUUAGACCUUGGUGGUCCACGCCAUAUAUGAGGAUUGCUAGUCGUCGGGAGAAUCUCCUUUCGGUGUGCAGUUAACACAUAAACAGUAUCGCAUGGGGAGUACGGUCGCAAGAUAAAGAUCAAAGAUAAGGACGGGGACCCGGCCAAGUGGUGGAGCAUGUGCUUUAAUUCGAAGAUACGCGAGGAACCUCCCUAGCCUUGACAUAUAUUAGAAGUAGGUAGAGAGUCAGAGGUGCCUUAGGAAGCUUUUACAGAGAUGCUACACGGCUAUCGUCAGUUUGUGUCGUGAGAAGUGGGGUAAAAUCCCGCGGCGAGCGCAACCCUCGUUGUUAGUUAGGAACAGUUUGGCGGAGGAUGUUAAGAAGACUGCCUUGGUAAGGCGGGGGGGGGUGUGGGCGAUGUCUAGGUCUCAUGGCCCCUGCGCAUAGGGCCACGCAGGUUAUUCAAUGCACCGGACAAUAGGCCGCAAUUCCCCGAGGUGGAGCUCAUACAUAAACUUGGUCUCAGGUCGGAUUUUAGUAGAUAACACACUACAUGAAGCUGGAAUCACUAGUAAUCGUAGAUCAGUUAUAAACGGUCCCCCGUUCCCGGGUAGAUUCCCCACCGCCCGUCACCCCAUGGGAGUUGAUUUCACCGGAAGCGGUGAAGUUAAACUGGCUACCGUCCACGGUGGAAUUAGCGUUUGGUGUGAAGCGGGAUCAA
This 795-nucleotide ribosomal RNA is filed under the name uncultured bacterium. Its description in RNAcentral is "bacterial SSU rRNA". It matches the Rfam family "Bacterial small subunit ribosomal RNA", at positions 679 to 1494 of the family's 1533-position model. The record is from RNAcentral.